Molecule: long non-coding RNA, 413 nt
Organism: Gossypium arboreum
Lineage: Eukaryota; Viridiplantae; Streptophyta; Magnoliopsida; Malvales; Malvaceae
Exons: 2
Source: RefSeq, a predicted model, not a curated record
CUUUCUCCAUAAUGUCUCUUCUCAAAAGCCCAAUGGGUCUCAUGGUGGGGUUUAUGCUGGCUGUUGCAUUCUUAAUGCCCAAAUUAGUUGAAAACAUGGAUCCGGAGGAAAUGAGGCGAGCUCAAGAGGAAAUGAGAAGCCAAGGGGUUCCUUCUUUAUCAAGUUUGCUACCAGGUGGUGCAAUGAAUUAAGUAUUUUGCUCAUGGACUAUCAACUCUUUGGUUGAUUAAACUUGAAAGGGUGGCUUAAAAGCCAAGCUGGAUGGUAUAAUAUUCACUGCUUGGCUGCUGAAAUAUUUGGACGUUUAUAUCCUUUCUCUUCCUUGGGAGCAACCCUUUAUUUUUUUUAGUUGUAGAUCUAUCACAUUCUAGUACUUUUUUAACUUAGUGUUGACAUCUAUUCAUUGCUGUCAA